GGACCCGCACAAGUAGUGGAGCAUGUGGUUUAAUUCGAUGCAACGCGAAGAACCUUACCAGGGUUUGACAUCCUGCGAACCUCUUGGAAACGAGAGGGUGCCUUCGGGAACGCAGUGACAGGUGGUACAUGGCUGUCGUCAGCUCGUGUCGUGAGAUGUUGGUUAAGUCCCGCAACGAGCGCAACCCACGUCUUUAGUUGCCAGCAUUUAGUUGGGCACUCUAGAGAGACCGCCGGUGAUAAACCGGAGGAAGGUGUGGAUGACGUCAAGUCAUCAUGCCCCUUACAUCCUGGGCUACACACGUACUACAAUGCUACGGACAAAGGGCAGCAAGUUCGCGAGGAC
RNAcentral lists this ribosomal RNA (345 nucleotides) under uncultured bacterium. Its description in RNAcentral is "bacterial SSU rRNA". It matches the Rfam family "Bacterial small subunit ribosomal RNA", at positions 917 to 1264 of the family's 1533-position model. The record is from RNAcentral.